Molecule: long non-coding RNA, 414 nt
Filed under: Panax ginseng (ginseng)
Lineage: Eukaryota; Viridiplantae; Streptophyta; Magnoliopsida; Apiales; Araliaceae
Description: long non-coding RNA (PGIN_LNC014224)
Source: RNAcentral
UUGUAUUAGUAAGUUGUAUUUAAAUUUUGUACCAUGUAUCUGACGACCCAAGAUGGGUGAUGUAUACCUAAUUUUGGGGGCGUCACAGUUGGUAUCAAAGCUUAGGGAUAUGAUCCCUGGCUAAGAUGUGAGAAUAGUACUAGGAGGGGAGAGAUGAGGAAUUCCUUCGCUAGUAUGACGUACCUAAGUUUAUGUGGUAUUUAAUUGGUCGGUCAGAAUUUAGGGAUAAUAUGUUACAAGUCAAUUAAACUUUGUUUUAUGGCAGUAUCUGAAAAUGACAUCCGAGAAUGUUGAGAAUAGCAAUGAAGCACAAGCGACCAUUGAUUCACCACAUAUCAAUAAUCAGGAUAAUGUGCAUCAGGAAGGCGACAAUCCUCAUGCAAACAACAACACUGACCAAAUGAUGAAUGAUCA